UACGUAGGGGGCAAGCGUUGUCCGGAAUCAUUGGGCGUAAAGAGCGUGUAGGCGGUUCGUUAAGUCUGCUGUGAAAGUCCAAGGCUCAACCUUGGGAUGUCGGUGGAUACUGUCGAACUCGAGUCCGGAAGAGGAGUGUGGAAUUCCUGGUGUAGCGGUGAAAUGCGCAGAUAUCAGGAGGAACACCGAUGGCGAAGGCAGCACUCUGGGACGUGACUGACGCUGAGACGCGAAAGCGUGGGGAGCAAACAGG
Molecule: ribosomal RNA, 253 nt
Filed under: uncultured bacterium
Lineage: Bacteria
Description: partial 16S ribosomal RNA
Rfam family: Bacterial small subunit ribosomal RNA
Source: RNAcentral